This 487-nucleotide ribosomal RNA is filed under the name uncultured bacterium. RNAcentral describes it as "partial 16S ribosomal RNA". It matches the Rfam family "Bacterial small subunit ribosomal RNA", at positions 31 to 507 of the family's 1533-position model. The record is from RNAcentral.
GAACGCUGGCGGCAGGCCUAACACCUGCAAGUCGAACGGUAACAGGAAACAGCUUGCUGUUUCGCUGACGAGUGGCGGACGGGUGAGUAAUGUCUGGGAAACUGCCUGAUGGAGGGGGAUAACUACUGGAAACGGUAGCUAAUACCGCAUAACGUCGCAAGACCAAAGAGGGGGACCCUCGGGCCUCUUGCCAUCGGAUGUGCCCAGAUGGGAUUAGCUUGUUGGUGGGGUAACGGCUCACCAAGGCGACGAUCCCUAGCUGGUCUGAGAGGAUGACCAGCCACACUGGAACUGAGACACGGUCCAGACUCCCACGGGAGGCAGCAGUGGGGAAUAUUGCACAAUGGGCGCAAGCCUGAUGCAGCCAUGCCGCGUGUAUGAAGAAGGCCUUCGGGUUGUAAAGUACUUUCAGCGGGGAGGAAGGGAGUAAAGUUAAUACCUUUGCUCAUUGACGUUACCCGCAGAAGAAGCACCGGCUAACUCCGUG